RNAcentral lists this unclassified non-coding RNA (236 nucleotides) under Hevea brasiliensis (rubber tree). Lineage: Eukaryota; Viridiplantae; Streptophyta; Magnoliopsida; Malpighiales; Euphorbiaceae. The record is from RNAcentral.
UUCUCUGGUCUUGAAGAAAAGGUCCUUCAGCAGUAUACUUUUGCAAAGGCAAAUAUGAUCAGAACAGCAGCUAUGAACUAUUUGCUAAACUCUGGUGUACGAUGGGGAUCCGCACCUGAAGUCAAAGGUCUUCGUAAUGCAGCCGUGGAGUUAUUGCACUCUCUAGUAGCUGUUCACUCAGAGGUCUUCACUGGUGCUAAGCCUCUCUUGGAUAAGACACUUGGCAUUCUUGUGGA